ACCAUUCAGUUGGGCACUCUAAGGAGACUGCCGGUGGUUAAACCGGAGGAAGUGGGGAUGACGUCAAGUCCUCAUGGCCCUUAUAUCCAGGGCUACACACGUGCUACAAUGGCCGGUACAAAGGGUCGCAAUACCGCGAGGUGGAGCUAAUCCCAAAAAGCCGGUCUCAGUUCGGAUUGGAGUCUGCAACUCGACUCCAUGAAGUCGGAAUCGCUAGUAAUCGCGUAUCAGCGUGACGCGGUGAAUACGUUCCCGGGCCUU
RNAcentral lists this ribosomal RNA (261 nucleotides) under uncultured Geothermobacter sp. RNAcentral's name for it is "partial 16S ribosomal RNA". It matches the Rfam family "Bacterial small subunit ribosomal RNA", at positions 1120 to 1382 of the family's 1533-position model. The record is from RNAcentral. Lineage: Bacteria; Pseudomonadati; Thermodesulfobacteriota; Desulfuromonadia; Desulfuromonadales; Geothermobacteraceae.